GAGGGGAGAAUGCCAAACCAAGAACAACCUCUGCUCUGUCUCUUUCAACUGCACAUCUUAAGAACACCAAAGUAAUCAAUCCAAAGGUUUUAAUCAGCUCGCUUACCCAGGCACAACCUCAUCCCCAAGAUCUCUUAAAUAAAACUACAACCAUCUUGA
This is a non-coding RNA of Odocoileus virginianus texanus, 159 nucleotides long. The record is from RefSeq and is a predicted model, not a curated record. NCBI's taxonomy places the organism in Eukaryota, Metazoa, Chordata, Mammalia, Artiodactyla, Cervidae.